This 377-nucleotide ribosomal RNA is filed under the name uncultured bacterium. Its description in RNAcentral is "bacterial SSU rRNA". It matches the Rfam family "Bacterial small subunit ribosomal RNA", at positions 355 to 724 of the family's 1533-position model. The record is from RNAcentral.
UGGGGAAUUUUGGACAAUGGGCGAAAGCCUGAUCCAGCAAUGCCGCGUGUGUGAAGAAGGCCUUCGGGUUGUAAAGCACUUUUGUCCGGAAAGAAAUGGCUUUGGUUAAUACCUGGGGUCGAUGACGGUACCGGAAGAAUAAGGACCGGCUAACUACGUGCCAGCAGCCGCGGUAAUACGUAGGGUCCAAGCGUUAAUCGGAAUUACUGGGCGUAAAGCGUGCGCAGGCGGUUGUGCAAGACCGAUGUGAAAUCCCCGAGCUUAACUUGGGAAUUGCAUUGGUGACUGCACGGCUAGAGUGUGUCAGAGGGGGGUAGAAUUCCACGUGUAGCAGUGAAAUGCGUAGAGAUGUGGAGGAAUACCGAUGGCGAAGGCAG